UUUGCACACUGUUAGAGCUCAGAGCUGAAGCCAGUUUCUGGCUAAUGAACUCUCGAGUGUAGGAUGUGUGCUAUAGCAACUGGACAGGUCUUCUCGCUAACACCACAAGGACCUUUUUUUGGUCCAAUGAGUGGAAUUUGAUGGUGAUUCUUGUCACAGCA
Molecule: small nucleolar RNA, 161 nt
Filed under: Crocodylus porosus (Australian saltwater crocodile)
Lineage: Eukaryota; Metazoa; Chordata; Crocodylia; Crocodylidae
Source: RNAcentral